AGGAUCAUCAUUGAAAAAACUUGCACGGGUUGUUGCUGGNNNCAGGGCAUGUGCACACCUGUCAUCUUUAUUUCUCCAANNGUGCACGUAUUGUAGACCUGGAGUUUUUGAAACCGUUUCGAGUUGGGGAUUGCUGUGCUUCAGUUGAAGUGGGCUUUGCCUUACAUUUCUGGGUCUAUGUCAUUUCACAACCUCAUUGAGAAUGUCGAAUCUGUACCUAUAAAGUUAAAUAUACAACUUUCAGYAACGGAUCUCUUGGCUCUCGCAUCGAUGAAGAACGCAGCGAAAUGCGAUAAGUAAUGUGAAUUGCAGAAUUCAGUGAAUCAUCGAAUCUUUGAACGCAUCUUGCGCUCCUUGGUAUUCCGAGGAGCAUGCCUGUUUGAGUGUCAUUUAAGUCCCUCAACCACAUCGGAUUCGUCUUGAUGUGGCUUGGAUAAUGGGGGUGGUUUGCAGGCUUCUCUGAAGUCUGCUCCCCUGAAACGCAUUAGUGGUGUCUGAGCAGAACUACACAGGUGUGAUAAUUAUCUACAUCUUCGUAUGCUGCGAAAAUAAAACAGAUUGAGCCGCUUCUAACGAGUGAAGCCUCCCCCCCUCCCGGGGAGCCACGCAUUUGAUAAAUUUGACCUCAAAUCAGGUAGGACUACCCGCUGAACUUAAGCAUAUCAAUAAGCGGAGGAAAAGAAACUAACAAGGAUUCCCCUAGUAACUGCGAGUGAAGCGGGAAAAGCUCAAAUUUGAAAUCUGGCAGUUCUUCGCUGUCCGAGUUGUAAUCUAGAGAAGUGUUACCUGUGCUGGACCGUGUACAAGUCUCCUGGAAUGGAGCAUCAUAGAGGGUGAGAAUCCCGUCUUCGACACGGACUGCCUGUACAUUAUGGUGUGCUCUCGAAGAGUCGAGUUGUUUGGGAAUGCAGCUCAAAAUGGGUGGUAAAUGCCAUCUAAAGCUAAAUAUUGGCGAGAGACCGAUAGCGAACAAGUACCGUGAGGGAAAGAUGAAAAGAACUUUGGAAAGAGAGUUAAACAGUACGUGAAAUUGCUGAAAGGGAAACGCUUGAAGUCAGUCGCGUUGGCUAGAAAUCAACUUUGCUUUUGCUUUGUGUACUUUCUGGUUCGACGGGUCAGCAUCAAUUUCGACCAUUGGAUAAAGUCUUUGGGAANNNGGCNUCUUUGGAUGUGUUAUAGCCCAUUGUCGCAUACGGUGGUNNNNNAUUGAGGAACUCAGCACGCCGCAAGGCCGGGUUUCAACCACGUU
Molecule: ribosomal RNA, 1249 nt
Filed under: uncultured Inocybe
Lineage: Eukaryota; Fungi; Basidiomycota; Agaricomycetes; Agaricales; Cortinariaceae
Description: eukaryotic LSU rRNA
Rfam family: Eukaryotic large subunit ribosomal RNA (bases 621-1249)
Source: RNAcentral